UGGGGUUCACGGACAGGCUGGGGGCACUCGGGGUGGGGGCGCAGGCAGCCGGGAAGGCACAUGGGUGCAGAGCGCCCUUUCCCCGCAGCCCUGCCGAGCGCUGGCUCGUGACCCCCGAAGCCCCGAGUCGCAAGCGCUGGUCUCGUUUGUUCAUCUCCUCCCAGACUUCCUCAAGGCGGCCUUUCCGCCUGCGGCAAAAUUCAGAUCCCUAGAAUGUUCUUUCCUGGCCCAGCUUAUGCUUAGAAGAGAGAAGGAAGCGUUUGUCCUCUCGCCACCAUCUCGUGGAGGCCUGGGAACUCGCGAGGACCUGCAAGAGCUGAUGGCCGGUGUGAUGAUGAAUGGGCUGGGAAAACGAGGUGCCCGGACACCAGGGCACACACCUGGUUAUCAAUAACACCACUCCUGCCGUGGGAGUGGGGGAGCGCAGGAGACAGGUGCUGAGUGCAGUAAGCCAGACUGAAGGGCAGACGCCUGUGUCCCGGCUCAACCUGAACCAGACGUCCACACUGCAGGGAGCCGUAGACGGAGAGGCAGAGAAUGGCAGAUGCCAGGAACAGCUCCAGGACGGUGGGAGUGGGGAUUCCUGAACGCCGAAAUGCAGGCAACCAAUAUUAAAGUUCAAGAUCUGGCUCUGCAGUUAAAUAUACUGGGGGUUGGAGUCCUGACUGGUAACCUUGGAUACAUUAUUUAACCUUGCUCUCUGGUUUUGCAUUCCAGUCUUGAGAGAGAAUCACCAGGGCAAAAUACUGCAUGUCAAUAUAACCUCGGCCCAGAGGCCCAGCAGCCAGACCACGACUUCUUAGCCAUCUUAAUCUAGCAAGCCCAACUACCUGCAACCAGUGACCCAGAAUGCUUUGGAUUGCUGUGUCCAGCCGAGCAAGGUGGGCAGAAAGUCAGGCUGAAGUUUCAUUUUGUGUGGGAAACAACAUGAAAA
Molecule: long non-coding RNA, 934 nt
Organism: Tupaia belangeri chinensis (Chinese tree shrew)
Lineage: Eukaryota; Metazoa; Chordata; Mammalia; Scandentia; Tupaiidae
Exons: 4
Source: RefSeq, a predicted model, not a curated record